Molecule: small nuclear RNA, 18 nt
Filed under: Arabidopsis thaliana (thale cress)
Lineage: Eukaryota; Viridiplantae; Streptophyta; Magnoliopsida; Brassicales; Brassicaceae
Description: snRNA_01573
Source: RNAcentral
GCGGCGAGAGCGGGUCAC